This 484-nucleotide ribosomal RNA is filed under the name uncultured bacterium. Its description in RNAcentral is "partial 16S ribosomal RNA". It matches the Rfam family "Bacterial small subunit ribosomal RNA", at positions 30 to 507 of the family's 1533-position model. The record is from RNAcentral.
AUUGAACGCUGGCGGCAGGCCUAACACAUGCAAGUCGAGCGGAUGAAGGGAGCUUGCUCCUGGAUUCAGCGGCGGACGGGUGAGUAAUGCCUAGGAAUCUGCCUGGUAGUGGGGGAUAACGUUCGGAAACGGGCGCUAAUACCGCAUACGUCCUGAGGGAGAAAGUGGGGGAUCUUCGGACCUCACGCUAUCAGAUGAGCCUAGGUCGGAUUAGCUAGUUGGUGGGGUAAAGGCCUACCAAGGCGACGAUCCGUAACUGGUCUGAGAGGAUGAUCAGUCACACUGGAACUGAGACACGGUCCAGACUCCUACGGGAGGCAGCAGUGGGGAAUAUUGGACAAUGGGCGAAAACCUGAUCCAGCCAUGCCGCGUGUGUGAAGAAGGUCUUCGGAUUGUAAAGCACUUUAAGUUGGGAGGAAGGGCAGUAAGUUAAUACCUUGCUGUUUUGACGUUACCAACAGAAUAAGCACCGGCUAACUUCGUG